GAUGAACGCUGGCGGCGUGCUUAACACAUGCAAGUCGAACGGAAAGGCCCAAGCUUGCUUGGGUACUCGAGUGGCGAACGGGUGAGUAACACGUGGGUGAUCUGCCCUGCACUUCGGGAUAAGCCUGGGAAACUGGGUCUAAUACCGGAUAGGACGAUGGUUUGGAUGCCAUUGUGGAAAGUUUUUUCGGUGUGGGAUGAGCUCGCGGCCUAUCAGCUUGUUGGUGGGGUAAUGGCCUACCAAGGCGUCGACGGGUAGCCGGCCUGAGAGGGUGUACGGCCACAUUGGAACUGAGAUACGGCCCAGACUCCUACGGGAGGCAGCAGUGGGGAAUAUUGCACAAUGGGCGCAAGCCUGAUGCAGCGACGCCGCGUGGGGGAUGACGGCCUUCGGGUUGUAAACUCCUUUCGCUAGGGACGAAGCGUUUUUGUGACGGUACCUGGAGAAGAAGCACCGGCUAACUACGUG
RNAcentral lists this ribosomal RNA (468 nucleotides) under uncultured bacterium. RNAcentral's name for it is "partial 16S ribosomal RNA". It matches the Rfam family "Bacterial small subunit ribosomal RNA", at positions 28 to 507 of the family's 1533-position model. The record is from RNAcentral.